Molecule: ribosomal RNA, 746 nt
Filed under: uncultured microorganism
Description: SSU rRNA
Rfam family: Bacterial small subunit ribosomal RNA
Source: RNAcentral
UCGAGGGGCAGCAUCAUCGCUUGCGAUGGAUGGCGACCGGCGCACGGGUGCGUAACGCGUAUGCAACCUACCCUUUACAGGGGGAUAGCCCGGAGAAAUCCGGAUUAAUACCCCAUGGUACCAUAAAGCAGCAUUGUUUAAUGGUUAAAGAUUUAUUGGUAAAGGAUGGGCAUGCGUCUGAUUAGUUAGUUGGUGAGGUAACGGCUCACCAAGGCGACGAUCAGUAGGGGUUCUGAGAGGAUGAUCCCCCACACUGGCACUGAGAUACGGGCCAGACUCCUACGGGAGGCAGCAGUAGGGAAUAUUGGUCAAUGGGCGAGAGCCUGAACCAGCCAUGCCGCGUGCAGGAAGACGGCCUUCUGGGUUGUAAACUGCUUUUAUCAGGGAACAAAUAGUCCAUGCGUGGAAAGUUGCGUGUACCUGAAGAAUAAGCACCGGCUAACUCCGUGCCAGCAGCCGCGGUAAUACGGAGGGUGCAAGCGUUGUCCGGAUUUAUUGGGUUUAAAGGGUGCGUAGGCGGGACAUUAAGUCAGUGGUGAAAUACUUCGGCUCAACCGGAGAGGUGCCAUUGAAACUGGUGUUCUAGAGUACAGACGAGGUAGGCGGAAUUUAUGGUGUAGCGGUGAAAUGCAUAGAUACCAUAAAGAACACCGAUAGCGAAGGCAGCUUACUAGACUGUAACUGACGCUGAGGCACGAAAGCGUGGGUAGCGAACAGGAUUAGAUACCCUGGUAGUCCACGCCGUA